RNAcentral lists this ribosomal RNA (253 nucleotides) under uncultured bacterium. RNAcentral's name for it is "partial 16S ribosomal RNA". It matches the Rfam family "Bacterial small subunit ribosomal RNA", at positions 524 to 776 of the family's 1533-position model. The record is from RNAcentral.
UACGGAGGAGGCAAGCGUUAUCCGGCAUUAUUGGGCGUAAAGCGUCCGCAGGUGGCGAUUCAAGUCUGCGGUCAAAGACUGGGGCUUAACCCUGGAAAGGCCGUGGAAACUGAAUAGCUAGAGUGCAGUAGGGGUAGAGGGAAUUCCCGGUGUAGCGGUGAAAUGCGUAGAGCUCGGGAAGAACAUCGGUGGCGAAAGCGCUCUGCUGGACUGCAACUGACACUCAGGGACGAAAGCUAGGGGAGCGAAUGGG